This 469-nucleotide ribosomal RNA is filed under the name uncultured bacterium. RNAcentral's name for it is "partial 16S ribosomal RNA". It matches the Rfam family "Bacterial small subunit ribosomal RNA", at positions 28 to 508 of the family's 1533-position model. The record is from RNAcentral.
GACGAACGCUGGCGGCGUGCUUAACACAUGCAAGUCGAACGGAAAGGCCCUGCUUUUGUGGGGUGCUCGAGUGGCGAACGGGUGAGUAACACGUGAGUAACCUGCCCUUGACUUUGGGAUAACUUCAGGAAACUGGGGCUAAUACCGGAUAGGAGCUCCUGCUGCAUGGUGGGGGUUGGAAAGUUUCGGCGGUUGGGGAUGGACUCGCGGCUUAUCAGCUUGUUGGUGGGGUAGUGGCUUACCAAGGCUUUGACGGGUAGCCGGCCUGAGAGGGUGACCGGCCACAUUGGGACUGAGAUACGGCCCAGACUCCUACGGGAGGCAGCAGUGGGGAAUAUUGCACAAUGGGCGGAAGCCUGAUGCAGCAACGCCGCGGGCGGGAGGACGGCCUUCGGGUUGUAAACCGCUUUCGCCUGUGACGAAGCGUGAGUGACGGUAAGGGGUAAAGAAGCACCGGCUAACUACGUGC